GAAUAUUGGACAAUGGGCGCAAGCCUGAUCCAGCCAUGCCGCGUGAGUGACGAAGGCCUUAGGGUUGUAAAGCUCUUUUGGCGGGGACGAUAAUGACGGUACCCGCAGAAUAAGCUCCGGCUAACUUCGUGCCAGCAGCCGCGGUAAUUCGAAGGGAGCUAGCGUUGUUCGGAAUCACUGGGCGUAAAGCGCACGUAGGCGGAUUUGUUAGUCAGGGGUGAAAUCCCGGGGCUCAACCUCGGAACUGCCUUUGAUACUGCAAAUCUCGAGUCCGAGAGAGGUGGGUGGAAUUCCUAGUGUAGAGGUGAAAUUCGUAGAUAUUAGGAAGAACACCGGUGGCGAAGGCGGCCCACUGGCUCGGUACUGACGCUGAGGUGCGAAAGCGUGGGGAGCAAACAGG
This 400-nucleotide ribosomal RNA is filed under the name uncultured bacterium. Its description in RNAcentral is "bacterial SSU rRNA". It matches the Rfam family "Bacterial small subunit ribosomal RNA", at positions 359 to 776 of the family's 1533-position model. The record is from RNAcentral.